CUGUCUCCUUUUUCUUAUCAGUGAAACUAAUCUCCCCGUGAAGAAGCGGGGAUAAUUCUAUAAGACGAGAAGACCCCAUGGAGCUUUAAACCCAACUACACCCCUCUUAACUUUACUUUUAAAUCUUGAGGUCCCUGUAUGUUCUGGUUUUAGGUUGGGGUGACCGCGGAGCAUAAACUAGCCUCCACAAUGAAUAGACCUCCUCUUUAUCUAAGACUUACACCUCUAAGAAUUAGUAUUCUAACAUAAAAUGAUCCGAUAUUCGAUCAACGAACCAAGUUACCCUGGGGAUAACAGCGCAAUCUACUUUAAGAGCUCCUAUCGACAAGUGGG
This 333-nucleotide ribosomal RNA is filed under the name Guibemantis wattersoni (Watterson's tree frog). Its description in RNAcentral is "partial 16S ribosomal RNA". It matches the Rfam family "Bacterial large subunit ribosomal RNA", at positions 2016 to 2516 of the family's 2925-position model. The record is from RNAcentral. Lineage: Eukaryota; Metazoa; Chordata; Amphibia; Anura; Mantellidae.